Ooceraea biroi (clonal raider ant) is the source of this 1101-nucleotide long non-coding RNA. RefSeq lists it as uncharacterized. The record is from RefSeq and is a predicted model, not a curated record. NCBI's taxonomy places the organism in Eukaryota, Metazoa, Arthropoda, Insecta, Hymenoptera, Formicidae.
AUUUAGGGAUUUUUUGACCCUAGCCUAUGUUUAUAAUCUUCGAUGACAGUCAAGGACCGACGAGUUUACACAAUGGUGCAAUAAAGCGUUGAGUAGCAUACAGACGUCUGUGGAUAUCCCUACAUUUCUUGGAUUUGUGCGGGACGUUGAAUCGGCACAUGAGGUUAAAAAUUACGUUCGCCUGUAUCUUGGUGACACUAAGCAGAGCACGGAAUUUGAUAAGCAAUUCCUGGAGAAACGAAGCAAGUGGCGAUCAGCGCAACGUUCUCAGGCACAAGCGGAUGAUCUGUGUAAGCCAGCGCUGGCAGUUAAUCCAAAUGCACCUGCACAAUUUCAGGAAGUAAAGGGAAAAUCCAAGAAACCAAAGAAGGGAUAGAUAUUCAAAGUAGAUAACAGAAUUCUUGGCUUCAGUGUAACCGCGGCACCCGAUCGUAUUAAUGUAGGUGACCGCGAUUACGGUGAAGGAGCCUGAGCUGUUUCGUCAGUUUACCUCAUGGAAAUGAUGUGUCACUCGAUUCAUCAAACAGUUCGUUAUUUAUUUAUUGUAAUCAAUACAUGCCAAAGGAUGCUGAGAGUCCCACCAUGGGUAUUUCUUAAGAUAUAUAAAGACUUUUUAUGAUCCACACACGUGAACGAAGAACUUAUCCCCCCAAAGGCGAUCAUUGAUGAUUGUCUUCAAUCAGGAUCGACCGAGCGUGGUGUUAUUUUCUUACAUUAUAUACAAGAAUUCCAUUGUACAUAUUAUUCAAAGAAGAAUAUUUCAAGAAAGAAGGCGAAUUUACUUUUUCUUAUGUACAUGACAAUUAGGGUUGGAAACUUUUAUAACAUUUCAUCGUCAUUGCGUCAUUUAAAGUACAACAGAUAAAAAGGAAGAUAAAAUAUGCCGAUCGAUAAAUUGUGCAUGUGUGGAAACAUGGUAGUCAAUAGCAAUAUGUGUAUGUAAAGAUUUUCAAUGAAAAUGAUGAUUAAAACAUACUUGUGAAGACGGCGGAAAUGACCGUAUUUGUAAGCAUAAUAUUGAAUGUACAGUGCGUCAGAUGUUUUUACUAAACAUAUUUAAUACAACGUGAAUCCUAUGGAUUUUCAUCCAGAAGAAAGAGA